RNAcentral lists this unclassified non-coding RNA (1411 nucleotides) under Hevea brasiliensis (rubber tree). The record is from RNAcentral. Lineage: Eukaryota; Viridiplantae; Streptophyta; Magnoliopsida; Malpighiales; Euphorbiaceae.
CUACUAUAUCCAUUUCUUUUCAUUUUCAUCUGGAACUAGCUUGCUAGCUUUUUCUUGCUACCAUAAACAGCAAUAGUCCUGUAUCUUUAUCGUAAUAUGCAAACUUAAUGCAUAAAUAACGGACUAUAUAUAUAGGAUCGUCAUCUGCACCAACAAUGGCAACAACAAACACUAGAGCUAUUUAAGUGUUCAACAUCUUUCUAAAACAAAAUACAAAAACAAAAAAUUACUUUUUCCUUUUUCUUAACUUUUACAAGUUGAUCUGCACCCAACAAAAGCCAUUAAGAACAAUAAACAUAUACCUAAAAUGGGUUUAGAUAAUAUUUUCAUUUCUCUAUAAAUUUUUUCCCUUUUCAUUAAAGGGUCUACCUCAUGGUGAUGAUUCUGGUCUAGGGCAAACCAUUACAUUGAUGCAAAUCACCCCACGCUUGAAUCCCAUUCCAGUUUCCAGCUGCUGCGUUGUUGCUGCCAUUGCCGCUACCGUAGUCUGGGGUUGGAGUCACUUGCCCGAAAGAAUUUCUAAAGAACCAGUCUGUUGCUGAAUCACCCCCAUUUCCACCUUCUCUUCUUAAAUUGCCAAUACCACUUACUUCUGGUUUUGAAAUUUCAAGAUUUUGAAACAAAAUGGGUUGAGGCUUCUGUGUCUGGCUUUGGAUUGGAACUGAAGAAACACUGCUGUCUUUCUGAUCUUCUCCCCCAAAAAGCAUAGCCAAUCUCUGCUGCUGCAACUUCCAGUGCAAAUCUUGGUUUAUAGAACUCAAAGACUCAAUUGACGAUGCAAGACCAGUGUGAACAUUCAUCGAACCACCAGCCAUAUCCUGAAUUGCACCGCUAAACCCAGUUGCAAGAGAAGAAAUUGGAUAGUUGAAUCCCACCAAUGAACCAGCUGAGCUUCCAGUCGGAUCAAGGCUGAAACAUGGACUGGUAACACUAAUAGCAGCUGCGGAGGUGGCAGAAAUAUCCCCAAAUGAAGAGAACUGAUUAUACAGGCCACUCGGUGAUGAGUUUAGCCUAGGAAAUGAUAACCCACCAAGAUUAAAAUCCAUGGCUGGAGCGAGACCAUGAAAGAACUUGAAUCUACCGAUCUCUGAGGACCCGCUGGAGUCCUUGGAGUCACAAGAAAACCUUGAAGAUGCCUUCACCUUCUUAUUUUUCCUGCAGCCACCGCCGAUGGGAACGUUGCGUAGGGCUCCUCCUUUAGUCCAGUACCUUCUACAAGUCUUGCAAAAAUGCCUGGGCUGUGUUAGACUAUAAUUGUUGUAGUAGCAGAAUUUUGUGUUGGGCGAGUCGCAUCUUGGACACUUGGACGCCUGCUCUUGUGGCCUUGUUGCUGUUGUUUUCCGGUUACAGGAGCCUUGGUUUUCUUCUCUGGUGGCUUGCUUUCCCUGAAUAUUAUUCGCGGACAUCAUGG